AAGAAGGCAUUGAAGAAGGUCUAGUAGCUAAUUAUAUGGAAAAACUAGAGAGCUGACGGUUGGUGCAAGUCAGUCAAAAAGAUUAGUGAACUCCCCUUCCAGUCUUAAGAGUGAACGCUCGUUCAAGUAACUCUUAACGGGUCACGGCCGUUAUCCGUUUUAAGCGAACAAGUAGUUAACUUGUUAAUUUGGGUGGUACCGCGGGAAAUAUAUCAGCUCUCGUCCCUUGA
RNAcentral lists this non-coding RNA (230 nucleotides) under Bacillus sp. (in: firmicutes). RNAcentral's name for it is "Bacillus sp. T-box sequence". It matches the Rfam family "T-box leader". From Rfam's summary of the family: Uncharged tRNA acts as the effector for transcription antitermination of genes in the T-box leader family. T-boxes are found upstream of many aminoacyl-tRNA synthetase genes and some amino acid biosynthetic genes usually in Gram-positive bacteria. The record is from RNAcentral. Lineage: Bacteria; Bacillati; Bacillota; Bacilli; Caryophanales; Bacillaceae.